Molecule: long non-coding RNA, 512 nt
Filed under: Ananas comosus (pineapple)
Lineage: Eukaryota; Viridiplantae; Streptophyta; Magnoliopsida; Poales; Bromeliaceae
Description: long non-coding RNA (ACOM_LNC027306)
Source: RNAcentral
CGAGGGCGGAGGCAGAAAGAGAAGCAGCAGAGGAAGAAGAAGCAGCAGAGGAGUUAAAGAAAAAAAAAAGAAGAGAGAGAGAGAGAGGCAGAGAGAGAAACAGCAGAGGAAGAAGAAGGAGAAGAAGUGUUAAAAAAAGGGGUGGAAAAUGGUGUAAUGCGUGCAAAAUGGAAUAAUAGUGUAAUGGUGCAAAAUUGUAAUCGUGUAAUGGUGUAAUGGUGCACAAAUAGUGUAAUUGUGUAAUGGUGUAAUAGUGUAAAUGGUGUAAUGGUGUAAUGGUGCAACAUUAUAAUGGUGUAAUGGUGUAAUGGUGUAAAAUAGUGUAAUGGUGUAAUGGUCCAGAUUGCACCAUUAGGGCCAGAUUGCAUCAUUUAAAAAAAUUUUGCACUAUUUUUUUUUCCCUCUUUCUCUUCUUUUUCUUCUUCUUCUUCUAGAUUGCACUAUUAGCUUUUUUUUUUUUCCUCUUUCUCUUCUUCUUCUUUUUCUUCUUCUUCGACGGAGGCGUCGGAUCG